Molecule: unclassified non-coding RNA, 250 nt
Filed under: Hevea brasiliensis (rubber tree)
Lineage: Eukaryota; Viridiplantae; Streptophyta; Magnoliopsida; Malpighiales; Euphorbiaceae
Source: RNAcentral
UGAAUUUGAGUGGGAAAACAAGGUCGCUGUGAAUACAAUAAUUCAAGACGAGAAGGAAUUUCUGAAUCACAUUAUGAAGUCCACGAAUAUGAAGUGCUUGACACCAAUAUCGGCAUUAGAAGGUGAAUGUGGUUUUCUUGCUGCUAACCUUUAUGCAAAGAGUGUUUUUGGAGAAGAUGCUUUGGUGAAUGUGAGCAUUGAAAAGCAAGUAGACAACAAGUUGAGUGGGUACAUCAGGAUAAGAAGCAAG